CCUACGGAUGGCAGCAGUCGAGAAUCAUUCACAAUGGGGGAAACCCUGAUGGUGCGACGCCGCGUGGGGGAAUGAAGGUCUUCGGAUUGUAGACCCCUGUCAUGUGGGAGCAAAUUAAAAAGAUCGUACCACAAGAGGAAGAGACGGCUAACUCUGUGCCAGCAGCCGCGGUAAUACAGAGGUCUCAAGCGUUGUUCGGAAUCACUGGGCGUAAAGCGUGCGUAGGCUGUUUCGUAAGUCGUGUGUGAAAGGCGCGGGCUCAACCCGCGGACGGCACAUGAUACUGCGAGACUAGAGUAAUGGAGGGGGAACCGGAAUUCUCGGUGUAGCAGUGAAAUGUGUAGAUAUCGAGAGGAACACUCGUGGCGAAGGCGGGUUCCUGGACAUUAACUGACGCUGAGGCACGAAGGCCAGGGGAGCGAAAGGGAUUAGAUACCCUUGUAGUC
This 446-nucleotide ribosomal RNA is filed under the name uncultured bacterium. Its description in RNAcentral is "partial 16S ribosomal RNA". It matches the Rfam family "Bacterial small subunit ribosomal RNA", at positions 338 to 795 of the family's 1533-position model. The record is from RNAcentral.